GUGCUCACUUUAACAGAACGUACACUAAGAUUGGAAUGAUACAGGGUAGAUUACCGUGGCCUCUGGGCAAGGAUGACGCACACAUUCAUGAUGCAGACAUUUUGUAA
RNAcentral lists this small nuclear RNA (107 nucleotides) under Vulpes vulpes (red fox). The record is from RNAcentral. Lineage: Eukaryota; Metazoa; Chordata; Mammalia; Carnivora; Canidae.